GGCUGAUUGGUCAAGCGGUCAAGACGCCGCCCUCUCACGGCGGAAACAGGGGUUCGAUUCCCCUAUCAGCUG
RNAcentral lists this transfer RNA (72 nucleotides) under Acetatifactor sp. RNAcentral describes it as "tRNA-Glu". It matches the Rfam family "tRNA". Rfam says of the family: Transfer RNA (tRNA) molecules are approximately 80 nucleotides in length. Their secondary structure includes four short double-helical elements and three loops (D, anti-codon, and T loops). Lineage: Bacteria; Bacillati; Bacillota; Clostridia; Lachnospirales; Lachnospiraceae. RNAcentral also lists the same sequence under 3 other names. The record is from RNAcentral.